Molecule: ribosomal RNA, 495 nt
Filed under: uncultured bacterium
Lineage: Bacteria
Description: partial 16S ribosomal RNA
Rfam family: Bacterial small subunit ribosomal RNA
Source: RNAcentral
GACGAACGCUGGCGGCGUGCCUAAUACAUGCAAGUCGAACGCUGAAGGAGGAGCUUGCUUCUCUGGAUGAGUUGCGAACGGGUGAGUAACGCGUAGGUAACCUGCCUGGCAGCGGGGGAUAACUAUUGGAAACGAUAGCUAAUACCGCAUAAUAGUAGAUGUUGCAUGACAUUUGCUUAAAAGGUGCAAUUGCAUCACUACUAGAUGGACCUGCGUUGUAUUAGCUAGUUGGUGGGGUAACGGCUCACCAAGGCGACGAUACAUAGCCGACCUGAGAGGGUGAUCGGCCACACUGGGACUGAGACACGGCCCAGAAUCCUACGGGAGGGAGAAGUAGGGAAUUUUUGGCAAAGGAAGGAAGGCUGAACAAGCAACGCCGCGUGAGUGAAGAAGGUUGUCGGAUCGUAAAGGUCUGUUGUAAGAGAAGAACGAGUGGGAGAGUGGAAAGUUCACACUGUGACGGUACCUUACCAGAAAGCGACGGCUAACUACGUG